Molecule: ribosomal RNA, 116 nt
Filed under: Verrucomicrobiota bacterium
Lineage: Bacteria; Pseudomonadati; Verrucomicrobiota
Source: RNAcentral
UUUGGUGGCCAUGAAGCUGUGGUCCGACCCGUUCCCAUUCCGAACACGGCCGUCAAACUCAGCAUUGCCGAUGGUAGUACAUGUAAAGCUUGUGCGAGAGUAGGUUGCCGCCAGAU